AUUGAACGCUGGCGGCAGGCUUAACACAUGCAAGUCGAACGGUAACAUAAGAAAAGCUUGCUUUUUUUGAUGACGAGUGGCGGACGGGUGAGUAAUGCUUGGGAAUCUGCCUUAUGGUGGGGGAUAACUAUGGGAAACUGUAGCUAAUACCGCGUAAUAUCUUCGGAUUAAAGUGUGGGACCUUCGGGCCACAUGCCAUAAGAUGAGCCCAAGUGAGAUUAGGUAGUUGGUGAGGUAAUGGCUUACCAAGCUUACGAUCUCUAGCUGGUUUGAGAGGAUGACCAGCCACACUGGGACUGAGACACGGCCCAGACUCCUACGGGAGGCAGCAGUGGGGAAUAUUGCACAAUGGGCGCAAGCCUGAUGCAGCCAUGCCGCGUGAAUGAAGAAGGCUUUCGGGUUGUAAAGUUCUUUCAUUAGUGAGAAAGGUACAAAUGUUAAUAGCAUUUGUAAUUGAUGUUAGCUAAAGAAGAAGCACCGGCUAACUCCGUGCCAGCAGCCGCGGUAAUACGGAGGGUGCGAGCGUUAAUCGGAAUAACUGGGCGUAAAGGGCAUGCAGGCGGUUAUUUAAGUCAGAUGUGAAAGCCCCGAGCUUAACUUGGGAAUUGCAUUUGAUACUGGGUAACUAGAGUCCUCUAGGGAGGGGUAGAAUUCCACGUGUAGCGGUGAAAUGCGUAGAGAUGUGGAGGAAUACCGAAGGCGAAGGCAGCCCCUUGGAGAGAGACUGACGCUCAUAUGCGAAAGCGUGGGUAGCAAACAGG
RNAcentral lists this ribosomal RNA (761 nucleotides) under uncultured bacterium. RNAcentral's name for it is "bacterial SSU rRNA". It matches the Rfam family "Bacterial small subunit ribosomal RNA", at positions 28 to 776 of the family's 1533-position model. The record is from RNAcentral.